GCCUGGGUGGCUCAGCUGGUUAAGCAUCUGACUUCAGCUCAGGUCAUGAUCUUGAAGUUUGUGGGUUCAGCCCCACAUCAGGCU
Molecule: transfer RNA, 84 nt
Filed under: Felis catus (domestic cat)
Lineage: Eukaryota; Metazoa; Chordata; Mammalia; Carnivora; Felidae
Rfam family: tRNA
About the family: Transfer RNA (tRNA) molecules are approximately 80 nucleotides in length. Their secondary structure includes four short double-helical elements and three loops (D, anti-codon, and T loops). Further hydrogen bonds mediate the characteristic L-shaped molecular structure. tRNAs have two regions of fundamental functional importance: the anti-codon, which is responsible for specific mRNA codon recognition, and the 3' end, to which the tRNAs corresponding amino acid is attached (by aminoacyl-tRNA synthetases). tRNAs cope with the degeneracy of the genetic code in two manners: having more than one tRNA (with a specific anti-codon) for a particular amino acid; and 'wobble' base-pairing, i.e. permitting non-standard base-pairing at the 3rd anti-codon position.
Source: Rfam by way of RNAcentral